This 1047-nucleotide long non-coding RNA is filed under the name Linum usitatissimum (flax). Its description in RNAcentral is "long non-coding RNA (LUSI_LNC003331)". The record is from RNAcentral. Lineage: Eukaryota; Viridiplantae; Streptophyta; Magnoliopsida; Malpighiales; Linaceae.
CAAUUCCCCACGUACCAAAUUCGGCUGUAAACAUGAUGAGGCAGCAGCCAACUAUUGGAGUGAUACUAGUCCUGCAGCUUCUGACGCUAAUUUCUGCGUUUGGACUACCAGUCAACCACCAACUAGUAGUGUCUCCAAGCGGUGCCACUUUCGCAGGCAGAAAAUGUGUCUUCUCUAAAGGAGGUGGUACUGGUGGACUCUUUGGAGGCGGUGGUGGCCUAGGAGGCGGUGGUGGCCUAGGAGGCUUAGGAGGCGGUGGUGGCCUAGGAGGCUUAGGAGGCGGCGGUGGCCUAGGAGGCUUAGGAGGCGGUGGCGGUGGAAGCUUUGGGAGUAACGGCGGAGAAAGUGGGGGCAGCGGAAAUGGCGGUGGUGAAAGUGCUGGCGGGGGUAAUGGAAGCGGUAACGGUGGUGGUGGUGGGGGCGGUGGAAGCAGCAAGGGUGGGGGCGGGUGGGCUGCAGCGGUGGUGGUAAUAAUGGCGGUGGGUAUGGAGGAGGAGGCAACAAUGGCGAUGGAAGUUCUGGAUCGGGAUAUGGAUAUGGAUACGGUGGUGGUGGUGGUGGUCGAUCGAGAUAGAGGAGGCAUUUGGAAUGGGGAAGGAUAUGAAGUAAGUUUAUGAAAUGAACGAGAGAUCGAGCUACUUACUAGAUGAUAUGAAUCUAUAAAUGUGACUGUGGGAGGGCAAGAUAAAAUGAGUACGUGCGUGAGUAAUAAUACAAUGUCCCGCAAUAAAAGAAAUUUGAGUGUUCAUGAUGAUGAAGUUAGGUUAGUUGGCACCUAAUAAUAAUACAUAUAAAAAAUUGUUUGCCGAAACAAAAUAUGGAAUUAGAAUAUGAGCCUGCCGAAUUUUAAAUAAAAUCGGGUAAUUUGUCCCUUUUGCGUUUUACCAAGCUCACAAACAAGGCAGUCUAUUAAGCAAUGCUUAUUUUACUAGCUCAUACUUUGACCAACUUCACAAUUGCGUACUCAACCCCUCGCUUAAUCUUCCUACCAAGCAGAGCCACAUCAUCAAUUCAGGCCACAUGGCCGUCGAGAAAUAUCAUAUUUUU